This 165-nucleotide ribosomal RNA is filed under the name Peteria glandulosa. Its description in RNAcentral is "5.8S ribosomal RNA". It matches the Rfam family "5.8S ribosomal RNA". Rfam says of the family: 5.8S ribosomal RNA (5.8S rRNA) is a component of the large subunit of the eukaryotic ribosome. The record is from RNAcentral. Lineage: Eukaryota; Viridiplantae; Streptophyta; Magnoliopsida; Fabales; Fabaceae.
UACAAAUGACUCUCGGCAACGGAUAUCUCGGCUCUUGCAUCGAUGAAGAACGUAGCGAAAUGCGAUACUUGGUGUGAAUUGCAGAAUCCCGUGAACCAUCGAGUCUUUGAACGCAAGUUGCGCCUGAAGCCAUUAGGUUGAGGGCACGCCUGCCUGGGUGUCACA